UAUGGAGCUUUAAGACACUAAGCCAUAUCAAGUUAAACACCCCCAAACAAGGGACUAAACUUAUUGAAAUCAUUGGCCGUAUGUCUUCGGUUGGGGCGACCAUGGGGAAACAAAAAACCCCCACGUGGAAUGGGAGCACAACUACUCCUACAGUCAAGAGCCACCACUCUAACAAACAGAAUUUCUGACCAAUAACUGAUCCGGCAACGCCGAUCAACGGACCAAGUUACCCUA
Molecule: ribosomal RNA, 234 nt
Filed under: Scomber scombrus (Atlantic mackerel)
Lineage: Eukaryota; Metazoa; Chordata; Actinopteri; Scombriformes; Scombridae
Description: partial 16S ribosomal RNA
Source: RNAcentral